GAGGAAUAUUGGACAAUGGGCGCAAGCCUGAUCCAGCCAUGCCGCGUGCAGGAAGAAGCAUCUAUGGUGUGUAAACUGCUUUUGUACGGGAAGAAACACUCCUUCGUGAAGGAGCUUGACGGUACCGUAAGAAUAAGGAUCGGCUAACUCCGUGCCAGCAGCCGCGGUAAUACGGAGGAUCCAAGCGUUAUCCGGAAUCAUUGGGUUUAAAGGGUCCGUAGGCGGUUUGGUAAGUCAGUGGUGAAAGCCCGCAGCUCAACUGUGGAACGGCCAUUGAUACUGCCAGACUUGAAUUACAAGGAAGUAACUAGAAUAUGUAGUGUAGCGGUGAAAUGCUUAGAUAUUACAUGGAAUACCAAUUGCGAAGGCAGGUUACUACUUGUGGAUUGACGCUGAUGGACGAAAGCGUGGGGAGCGAAC
RNAcentral lists this ribosomal RNA (420 nucleotides) under uncultured bacterium. RNAcentral's name for it is "bacterial SSU rRNA". It matches the Rfam family "Bacterial small subunit ribosomal RNA", at positions 356 to 773 of the family's 1533-position model. The record is from RNAcentral.